UUUGAGUUAUGUAAUAAAUCACACCAAAUGCCAAGAUUGUUCCUUAGCCUUUCUCAAAUCUGGGUGUGUCAGAGUUCUCUAAGGACCUCAAGGGACCCGGGCAGUGCUCACACCCAAAUUUCAUAGCCGAGAAAAAGUAAGUGUAGUGUGGAAAGGCUAGCUUUUGUGUGUCCAUGUUUAGAGGGAGCUCAAGGGUCCAAAGGCAAGGCUCACACAAAAGGGGCAGAACUUCGUGGUGUAAGAGUAAAGUGAGAGUUCUUGACAUUGCUUUGAAGAUAUUUAAGCAGGAAAAUAGUUUAAAAAAGAAAAUAGACUCGUUGAAAUAGUUAUGUAAAACAACAGGGGGAGUCAUUUAAUAGGAUAGUUUUGGAAAGAGAGUAGAGUAACAACCAACAGUCCAAACAAAACACCAAAAUAGGUUCAUACAUAAUCAAGGAACAUCGGACUAAGGUAGGUUCAACAGUCACCAAAAGGGGUAGUGGGUUCGGGGACACAUAGGUUACAUAAAUAUAAACAUAGUUGCAAGAGUGCUCAAGUAUAGUAUCAGCAGUAUGCUGAGGAGUUAGAGAACAUAGAAUCAUGUAACUUGAAGGUAGCCAACUAUUUUUACACAAAGAGGUUAAUGUUAGAAAUUAAAGCAAACACAAGUAAAGAAGGGCCAUACGGAGGUAUAUUAGGAAGGGGAAUAAAAAAUUUAUAAGCAUGAUGAGUCGAAAGGAGGGGAGACAUCAUGCUGAUGAAGUGAUGAAAUAAACAUAUCAAUUAGAAGUUUAAUCAACAAAACCAUAAGUGAAAAUAUACCAAAACCAAGAUGAAAAGCAGUAAAAGAAACACAUUGUUUUGAAACUUGAAUUGAAAUCAGAACAUACUAGUAAAGAAGUAAACAAAAAGUGAGAGGGCAAGAGAGUAGAGUAAUCAGCCUUGACUUGCAGCCGUCUGACUUAUGACAAUAGAAAAUAACCAGAGAAAGGCGAGACCAGAAGAAAUGUUUUCUUUUUGUCUGGGAAAGGGUUUUUAACUAUUGUGUUCGUCUGUGUGUGUUAAUGAGAGAGCAUAUAUGUAGUAGUUAAGAGCAAGGAAAAUUAAGGUAAUAGGAAUAAACCCUCUUGCAAUUAAGAAAAACACAGAAUCAAUUAUACACAAGUUAGUAUCAUUUUCCCUUAAUUAAGGGUAGUCAACAAACGGUAAAGGCAGAACACGUUAAUGGAAAGAAAAUCAACGAGCAAUUAGUGGUAAAUAGACAAAAUUUUAAUUAAGAAAAUGAUUGAUAAAGAAUUAGUAAAUAUCACAAUUAAUCAAACAAGGAGAGAAAGCGGCUCAAGAGUUUAAAUAAGGAAGGAGUCAGGAGUAAGUCUUAAUAGAACAAACUGAUUAGUCAAGAAUCCAAACGAAAUCAUCGAUUUAAGGGGAAAAGUAUAGGUUUACCAUGAAUAGGUAAAAAAUGACCAUAGACGUAUAGAAUCAGUAGGAAAAUUACACCAAGAGCAUCAAUAGAGGCACAUUAGGAUCAAAUGACAUCAAAUUAGGCUAAGAAGAAUCACAGAAACCAAAACAUAGUACAAAGUCAGUUCCCAAGGAACCUAGACAAACUCAGAAACCAAACAAUAAUGUCGAGAAAUCAGGGUUUUUAGCAUAAACAAGUCAGUGUUAAAGCAAUCCUUAUGAAAUCAGUCAAAACACACAAGAAACAGAAGAUUAAAC
This 1701-nucleotide long non-coding RNA is filed under the name Nicotiana benthamiana. RNAcentral describes it as "long non-coding RNA (NBEN_LNC017751)". Lineage: Eukaryota; Viridiplantae; Streptophyta; Magnoliopsida; Solanales; Solanaceae. The record is from RNAcentral.